This 750-nucleotide ribosomal RNA is filed under the name Bacillus cereus. RNAcentral describes it as "bacterial SSU rRNA". It matches the Rfam family "Bacterial small subunit ribosomal RNA", at positions 48 to 776 of the family's 1533-position model. Lineage: Bacteria; Bacillati; Bacillota; Bacilli; Caryophanales; Bacillaceae. The record is from RNAcentral.
CCUAUACAUGCAAGUCGAGCGAAUGGAUUAAGAGCUUGCUCUUAUGAAGUUAGCGCCCCCCUUAAAAGAGUAACACGUGGGUAACCUGCCCAUCCCCCCUGAAAAUAACUCCGGGAAACCGGGGCUAAUACCGGAUAACAUUUUGAACCGCAUGGUUCGAAAUUGAAAGGCGGCUUCGGCUGUCACUUAUGGAUGGACCCGCGUCGCAUUAGCUAGUUGGUGAGGUAACGGCUCACCAAGGCAACGAUGCGUAGCCGACCUGAGAGGGUGAUCGGCCACACUGGGACUGAGACACGGCCCAGACUCCUACGGGAGGCAGCAGUAGGGAAUCUUCCGCAAUGGACGAAAGUCUGACGGAGCAACGCCGCGUGAGUGAUGAAGGCUUUCGGGUCGUAAAACUCUGUUGUUAGGGAAGAACAAGUGCUAGUUGAAUAAGCUGGCACCUUGACGGUACCUAACCAGAAAGCCACGGCUAACUACGUGCCAGCAGCCGCGGUAAUACGUAGGUGGCAAGCGUUAUCCGGAAUUAUUGGGCGUAAAGCGCGCGCAGGUGGUUUCUUAAGUCUGAUGUGAAAGCCCACGGCUCAACCGUGGAGGGUCAUUGGAAACUGGGAGACUUGAGUGCAGAAGAGGAAAGUGGAAUUCCAUGUGUAGCGGUGAAAUGCGUAGAGAUAUGGAGGAACACCAGUGGCGAAGGCGACUUUCUGGUCUGUAACUGACACUGAGGCGCGAGUUUAGGAAGGAAUGCUC